GAGAUGUGAUGAGUAACAAAUUGGUCCGUGUUUCUGAUUAACCGUGACUGAGAAUUUAUUAACCAAACUCUGAUCUC
Arabidopsis thaliana (thale cress) is the source of this 77-nucleotide small nucleolar RNA. It matches the Rfam family "Small nucleolar RNA SNORD18". Rfam says of the family: U18 is a member of the C/D class of snoRNA which contain the C (UGAUGA) and D (CUGA) box motifs. It is encoded in introns of ribosomal protein L1 in Xenopus and human, and in introns of elongation factor 1 beta in yeast. Related snoRNAs in Arabidopsis and rice have been named R63 and Z106 respectively. NCBI's taxonomy places the organism in Eukaryota, Viridiplantae, Streptophyta, Magnoliopsida, Brassicales, Brassicaceae. The record is from Rfam.